RNAcentral lists this ribosomal RNA (863 nucleotides) under uncultured bacterium. Its description in RNAcentral is "bacterial SSU rRNA". It matches the Rfam family "Bacterial small subunit ribosomal RNA", at positions 8 to 918 of the family's 1533-position model. The record is from RNAcentral.
AGAGUUUGAUCCUGGCUCAGAACGAACGCUGGCGGCACGCCUAACACAUGCAAGUCGAGCGGGAUCUUCGGAUCUAGCGGCGGACGGGUUAGUAACGCGUGGGAACGUACCCAGAUCUACGGAAUAGCCUCGGGAAACUGAGAGUAAUACCGUAUACGCCCUUCGGGGGAAAGAUUUAUCGGAUUUGGAUCGGCCCGCGUAAGAUUAGAUAGUUGGUGGGGUAAUGGCCUACCAAGUCUACGAUCUUUAGCUGGUUUGAGAGGAUGAUCAGCAACACUGGGACUGAGACACGGCCCAGACUCCUACGGGAGGCAGCAGUGGGGAAUCUUAGACAAUGGGCGCAAGCCUGAUCUAGCGAUGCCGCGUGAGUGAUGAAGGCCUUAGGGUCGUAAAGCUCUUUCGCCUGUGAAGAUAAUGACGGUAGCAGGUAAAGAAACCCCGGCUAACUCCGUGCCAGCAGCCGCGGUAAUACGGAGGGGGUUAGCGUUGUUCGGAAUUACUGGGCGUAAAGCGCACGUAGGCGGACUAGUCAGUCAGAGGUGAAAUCCCAGGGCUCAACCCUGGAACUGCCUUUGAUACUGCUAGUCUUGAGUUCGAGAGAGGUAAGUGGAAUUCCGAGUGUAGAGGUGAAAUUCGUAGAUAUUCGGAGGAACACCAGUGGCGAAGGCGGCUUACUGGCUCGAUACUGACGCUGAGGUGCGAAAGUGUGGGGAGCAAACAGGAUUAGAUACCCUGGUAGUCCACACCGUAAACGAUGAAUGCCAGACGUCGGGUAGCAUGCUAUUCGGUGUCACACCUAACGGAUUAAGCAUUCCGCCUGGGGAGUACGGUCGCAAGAUUAAAACUCAAAGGAAUUGACAGAA